CGCGGCCUAUCAGCUUGUUGGUGAGGUAACGGCUCACCAAGGCGACGACGGGUAACCGGCCUGAGAGGGUGACCGGUCACACUGGGACUGAGACACGGCCCAGACUCCUACGGGAGGCAGCAGUGGGGAAUAUUGCACAAUGGGCGCAAGCCUGAUGCAGCAACGCCGCGUGAGGGAUGACGGCCUUCGGGUUGUAAACCUCUUUUAGCAGGGAAGAAGCGAAAGUGACGGUACCUGCAGAAAAAGCACCGGCUAACUACGUGCCAGCAGCCGCGGUAAUACGUAGGGUGCAAGCGUUGUCCGGAAUUAUUGGGCGUAAAGAGCUCGUAGGCGGUUUGUCACGUCUGCUGUGAAAAUCCAAGGCUCAACCUUGGACUUGCAGUGGGUACGGGCAGGCUAGAGUGCGGUAGGGGAGAUGGGAAUUCCUGGUGUAGCGGUGGAAUGCGCAGAUAUCAGGAGGAACACCAAUGGCGAAGGCACAUCUCUGGGCCGUAACUGACGCUGAGGAGCGAAAGCGUGGGGAGCGAACAGGAUUAGAUACCCUGGUAGUCCACGCCGUAAACGGUGGGUGCUAGCUGUGGGCCACAUUCCACGUGGUCCGUGACGAAGUUAACACAUUAAGCACCCCGCCUGGGGAGUACGG
This 643-nucleotide ribosomal RNA is filed under the name uncultured Actinomycetes bacterium. RNAcentral's name for it is "bacterial SSU rRNA". It matches the Rfam family "Bacterial small subunit ribosomal RNA", at positions 232 to 885 of the family's 1533-position model. The record is from RNAcentral. Lineage: Bacteria; Bacillati; Actinomycetota; Actinomycetes.